AGUAGUAGUGAGCGUUGUCCAAGAGGUGGGUAUCAGGGCUGGCGUGCUAGUGAAUGCUGGUUCUCUGUUUUUGCAAGUGAUGAUGAACCUGUUUGAGCUAAUUCCAUUUGAGAAAGUUCCAGUUACUGGCCUGGUCGUGUCGUCCUUUCAAUGUUAAAAACUGCAGCAAAAGCAUGGGGAUUGUUGCUUCUAGAAACACCCCAGGUCUCUUGUCUGCUCUCUGCAUAUUGUUCAAGUAAAGCAGAUUUAAAAAAAUAAUAAUAAAGAAAACGAAAACCAACUGCUGCUGCUCCUGCUUUCUUUCUACUUCCUUGUGCUUUGCCCCUCCCCUUUUCCAGGUGAUUGGGUUUGGGUGCUGGGCGGGGCCAAAUGGUAUAUCAGCCCCAGGCAUGCCAUCAGAGAGCUCCUUCUGCCUGGGCUGCUCCUUGGGGGUAGAUGCAGCAUUGCCAAGAGACUGAGCAGCGAUGUAUCAGAGUUACCUCUUUCAUCUGCAAAGGGUGCUUUGUGCAGUCGUGGACAGGGAAGGGAUAUCCUCCUGUGAUGGAGCUCUGAGGGAAGGUGUUGUGGAUGAUGGUGGCCGCUCCUUUCAAGCUUGGACCUAAUUUGCAAGUAUAGAGGCAAGUGGAGUGCUGUUUUGAAAGGAUAAAAGUAAAGCUGGGGUCGCUUAUGUUGUUGAGGGAUGGGUGCUACCGCUGGCAGCUGAAUGUUUAUCUUCUGCCUGUGUCUUUCCUUUGUUCAUGUUGAAAUGCAGCGUGCAGUGCGCAGUGCAGGACGUCUCGACCCGAGCUGCCUCUGCAGUGACUCUGAUGCGUGAUAAGCUGAGGUAGCUGUUAUUUUUGGGGUGCGGUUGUUACUGCAGUUAUUUUCCUUCGUUCAAUAGAGUAAAAUUCCAGUUUGCCUUUUAGAAGUGCUGUAAGUGGCUAAUGAGAACAGAUGGAAGCAUCUGCUAUGUGGGGCAGGCAAGCGGCUGAGGUACAGGAGGGGAUGAAAGUAUGUGAUUUUUUUCUGGGGAUGGAAUGGAAUUGAUUUUGUUGGUGUAUAAUCUGUUCUGAUCCUGGAUUUUUCUUUCUAAGUUUAAAAAUAAUAAUAAAAUUUGAGCUAAUACCA
Molecule: long non-coding RNA, 1107 nt
Filed under: Anas platyrhynchos platyrhynchos (common mallard)
Lineage: Eukaryota; Metazoa; Chordata; Aves; Anseriformes; Anatidae
Description: lncRNA (ENSAPLG00000019810.1)
Source: RNAcentral